GAUAAUUUAUUCAUAAAUAUUUUGGUCGAGCCAAUAAAUCUCGUAGUGCCCCCAUCUGAGGUAUUUCGUUUCCGAGCACCUGCACAGUUCAGAGGUUAGGGAACUUUUUGAUCCCAAACAUAAAUUUCGUGGCCAUUCAAUGACAGGUGCAGCUGCCAUCGACAUUCUACCAUAAUAAGAUGGGCAGACAUCGACAUCGCCCCUCCAUCUCUGGUUUGUUUACCGAAUCUGAACUUUUUAGCUGCUCCAACUGGGCGACUGACUGACUGACUGACUGACUGAGCAUCUCACUUUCGGGAUUUUGGAGGAGGCCGGCUGUUUAUGUUGUUAAAUGCAAAAAUGAUUUCCAUUAAAAACAAACAAAUGGCGAGACGCACGUAGCAACGGCACCAGUGUGCGUGGUCCGUGGAGUA
Long non-coding RNA from Drosophila teissieri, 413 nucleotides. RefSeq lists it as uncharacterized. NCBI's taxonomy places the organism in Eukaryota, Metazoa, Arthropoda, Insecta, Diptera, Drosophilidae. The record is from RefSeq and is a predicted model, not a curated record. The transcript has 2 exons.